CAAUGAUGAGACACCAGCUGGCACCAGUCUGAGAAGACUUGUACUCUUUACAUGCGGAUCAGCAUCAUGGCAAUUAGCCUACAGUCUGAA
This 90-nucleotide small nucleolar RNA is filed under the name Cladophialophora yegresii CBS 114405. Its description in RNAcentral is "A. fumigatus snoRNA Afu_190". It matches the Rfam family "A. fumigatus snoRNA Afu_190". The record is from Rfam by way of RNAcentral. Lineage: Eukaryota; Fungi; Ascomycota; Eurotiomycetes; Chaetothyriales; Herpotrichiellaceae.